CCUACGGGUGGCAGCAGUGGGGAAUAUUGGACAAUGGGCGAAAGCCUGAUCCAGCCAUGCCGCGUGUGUGAAGAAGGCCUUCGGGUUGUAAAGCACUUUCAGUGGGGAAGAAAGCCUUGGGGCUAAUACCCUCGAGGAAGGACAUCACCCACAGAAGAAGCACCGGCUAACUCCGUGCCAGCAGCCGCGGUAAUACGGAGGGUGCGAGCGUUAAUCGGAAUUACUGGGCGUAAAGCGCGCGUAGGCGGUCUGAUAAGCCGGUUGUGAAAGCCCGGGGCUCAACCUGGGAACGGCAUCCGGAACUGUCAGGCUAGAGUGCAGGAGAGGAAGGUAGAAUUCCCGGUGUAGCGGUGAAAUGCGUAGAGAUCGGGAGGAAUACCAGUGGCGAAGGCGGCCUUCUGGACUGACACUGACGCUGAGGUGCGAAAGCGUGGGUAGCAAACAGGAUUAGAUACCCCUGUAGUC
This 465-nucleotide ribosomal RNA is filed under the name Vreelandella stevensii. RNAcentral describes it as "partial 16S ribosomal RNA". It matches the Rfam family "Bacterial small subunit ribosomal RNA", at positions 338 to 795 of the family's 1533-position model. The record is from RNAcentral. Lineage: Bacteria; Pseudomonadati; Pseudomonadota; Gammaproteobacteria; Oceanospirillales; Halomonadaceae.